UACGGGGGGGGGCAAGCGUUGUUCGGAAUUACUGGGCGUAAAGGGCUCGUAGGCGGCCAACUAAGUCAGACGUGAAAUCCCUCGGCUUAACCGGGGGAACUGCAUCUGAUACUGGAUGGCUUGAGUUCGGGAGAGGGAUGCGGAAUUCCAGGUGUAGCGGUGAAAUGCGUAGAUAUCUGGAGGAACACCGGUGGCGAAGGCGGCAUCCUGGACCGACACUGACGCUGAGGAGCGAAAGCCAGGGGAGCAAAGCGGG
This 256-nucleotide ribosomal RNA is filed under the name uncultured bacterium. Its description in RNAcentral is "partial 16S ribosomal RNA". It matches the Rfam family "Bacterial small subunit ribosomal RNA", at positions 524 to 777 of the family's 1533-position model. The record is from RNAcentral.